CGGAGUCCCGUGUCAGUGGUGCGCCCGGAGUCACCAUGCGGUCGCAGAUCCUGCUCACCCUCUGCUUGGCAGCCGGCCUGCAGGCGGCGCCCGAGCGACCGGAGGGAGGCCUCUCAUGCCCCCGCUCCCAGGGCCUCUUCGCGCACCCCUUCGACUGCAGCAAGUUUCUGCACUGCGACCAUGGUCAUCCGUACGUCAAGGACUGCCCGGCCAACCUGCACUUCAACCCCAAGAUCAUGGUGUGUGAUUGGCCGGAGCAGGCGGGCUGCCGGCCGGGCACGCCCACCGACCCGCCCACGCCCGACGUGCCGCCUGAGCCCGGCAUGGAGUGCGACUGCGAGUGCUGCCUGAAGCCCAACGGCGACGACUGCACCACCUUCUACCUGUGCAAGGAUGGCAAGGCCUACCUGGAGACUUGCGCCACCGGCCUGGUGUACAACCCCAACAUCCAGAACUGUGACCUGCCCAGCAAUUACAACUGUGGUGGUCCCGAGCCGACGCCCAGUCCGUUUGAUUGUCCCACCGACGGACUGUUCCCCAAUCCGGCCGACUGCCACACCUUCUUCCACUGCUCCAAUGGAAUCUCGUACAAGAAGAACUGUCCCGCUAACCUCGACUUUGACGCGCGGACAAAGCGGUGCGAGUGGCCAAACCAGGCCGGCUGCCGGUACCCAGCCUCGACCACUAAGAAGCCUCCCGAACCCACUACGCGCUCCACCACUACAACCAAAGGGCCGGACUUCGACUGCCCCACCGGAGACGGGCUCUUCCCCAAUCCGGAGGACUGUCAUACGUUCUUCCAUUGUUCCAAUGGAAUCCCGUACAAGAAGGACUGCCCUGCUAAUCUCGACUUCGACGCCAAGACGAAACGGUGCGAGUGGCCAGACCAGGCCGGCUGCCGGUACCCAGCCUCGACCACUCAGAAGCCGCCCGAACCCACCACGCGCUCCACCACUACAACCAAACGGCCGGACUUCGACUGCCCCACCGCAGACGGGCUCUUCCCCAACCCGAAAGACUGCCAUACGUUCUUCCAGUGUUCGAACGGAAUCCCCUACCUAAUGGACUGUCCGGCCAACCUCGAAUUCAACCCGGUCCUCCUCGUCUGCGAUUGGCCAGAGCAUGCCGGCUGCUCGAAUAAGACCACACCCACUACGCCCGCAGUGUCCCCCACCACACCCCGCACGCCCGCUACCACUCCCAAACGGCCGGACUUCGACUGCCCCACCAGCACCAGCAGCGGGCUGUUCCCCAACCCGAAAGACUGCCAUACGUUCUACCAGUGUUCGAACGGAAUCCCCUACCUAAUGGACUGUCCGGCCAACCUCGAAUUCAACCCGGUCCUCCUCGUCUGCGAUUGGCCAGAGCAUGCCGGCUGCUCGAAUAAGACCACACCCACUACGCCCGCAGUGUCCCCCACCACGAGGCCGGUUGUCACCACCACCAAGAAGGACUUCGACUGCCCCACCAGCAACGGGCUGUUCCCCAACCCGAAGGACUGUCAUUCGUUCUACCACUGCUCGAACGGGUACCCUUACCUGAAGGACUGUCCCGCUAACCUUGAGUUCAACCCGGUGCUCUUGGUGUGCGACUGGCCCAAUCACGCUGGCUGCGGCGGCCACCCGCAGCCCACGCCCGACUACCCGGUCACCACGCCGGUGCCCGACGACGACAUCGUCUGCCCGAACAAGAGCUGCGCGUGCAGGCUGCCGGACAAGGACGACUGCAGCGGCUUCUAUCAGUGUCGGGACGGCAAGGCCUACCACAAAAGCUGUCCGACCGGCCUGGUCUUUAACCCCGACACGGAAGUGUGCGAUCUGCCCGCCAAUGUGAAAUGCGGCGCCCACACUACUGCCACACCGCCACCACCUACCACCCCCACCCCAACCACCACCACCACUACGGCAGCGCCCACCACCCUGCCGCCCCCGUCUCCGUGUACGUUCCCCUGCUCUAAGAGCGACGGUACCUACGCCAAUCCGCUGAACUGCGGCACCUACUUUCACUGCUCGGGCGGAAAGGCCAGCAUCGAGUACUGUCCGGCCGGCACGCACUUCAACACGGGCACGAACGCGUGCGACGCGCCCGAGACCGCCGGCUGUUGUCACCUGUAACCCCCCUCCCCGUCCCGCCCCUCACCCGUCCCACGCCUCCCCGACACACCGCACCGGACCACGGCCACUGAUGGCUGCCGCGCUCACCUCGGUAGCUUGUUUUUCCCCCACGGCAGACAGCAAUCGUCACGUGUUGCCGCUGACACUGCACCCAGUCUGUAGUCACCUUCCUUGUAGUGUAAUCCGCACACAGCACCGCACAUACCUUUCACGCAUCCGCCGCCCGAUCAGCACCCGCCUCUCCCGCUCGAGACAUGCUGCAUGCUGACAAUGGCCGAUCGAAGUAGAGUACCUGAUCCCAAAGACUGCCACAAAUUUUACCAGUGCAAGAACGGCAAGGCCUACCCGAUGAGCUGUCCGAAGGGCCUUGUCUAC
Molecule: unclassified non-coding RNA, 2489 nt
Filed under: Pollicipes pollicipes
Lineage: Eukaryota; Metazoa; Arthropoda; Thecostraca; Pollicipedomorpha; Pollicipedidae
Description: chitin-binding domain protein cbd-1-like, transcript variant X3
Source: RNAcentral